This 538-nucleotide long non-coding RNA is filed under the name Trifolium pratense (red clover). RNAcentral describes it as "long non-coding RNA (TPRA_LNC010692)". Lineage: Eukaryota; Viridiplantae; Streptophyta; Magnoliopsida; Fabales; Fabaceae. The record is from RNAcentral.
AGGCUCAAGGAAAUAUGCUGAGAACUCUUCCGCAGCUUAUUUCUAUCAGCAAGGGUGUUAUCUUACGAGGAGCUUAAUGUGACUAAUCUCUUAUUAGCAUUUUGGCUCUGCAUGUUUAACUCACCUGCUAUGUGUUUGGUGGAUUCUCCAUGUAAUCAAACAAAGUUGCAAUUGAACCAAUAAUAAAAGAAUAAAAUGAAAUUGCAAAUAAAUUGAAACAUGAACCAAUAACAUUGUGGUACAAGUAGACCGGUUUUUUAUUGUCAUGAAAUAUUUUGGAGGCAUGUUCUAUUCUAAAUUUGAAAGUGAAAGGACAGUAGUUUCAAAAGCAUGCAUAUGGCUGGUACAAAUAAAGAAAAAUUGUGGUACACUGACAAGGUACACUGAUAUUACUGAUAUGGUAACAAAUGAUCUAUUUGCAAUGAUCUAUAUUACUAAUAUGGAUUACAACUUACAUCCAUCCAACGCCCCCGACGACAUAUAACGCACGUCCCGUGAGUAGGAAGAUUCAGAUUUCUUUCUGAUCCUGCCUUUGAUG